This 372-nucleotide unclassified non-coding RNA is filed under the name uncultured Lysobacterales bacterium. Its description in RNAcentral is "uncultured Xanthomonadales bacterium contains 16S-23S intergenic spacer region". The record is from RNAcentral. Lineage: Bacteria; Pseudomonadati; Pseudomonadota; Gammaproteobacteria; Lysobacterales.
UCCGGUUUGUCACCGGCAGUCUCCCUAGAGUGCCCUUGCGUAGCAACUAGGGACAAGGGUUGCGCUCGUUGCGGGACUUAACCCAACAUCUCACGACACGAGCUGACGACAGCCAUGCAGCACCUGUGCUAGAGUCCCGAAGGAGGGCCCUGCUUUCACCCGCUUUAACUAGCAUGUCAAACCCAGGUAAGGUUCUUCGCGUUGCAUCGAAUUAAGCCACAUGCUCCGCCGCUUGUGCGGGCCCCCGUCAAUUCCUUUGAGUUUCAGUCUUGCGACCGUACUCCCCAGGCGGCGAACUUAACGCGUUAGCUUCGAUACUGAGUGCCUAGUUGCACCCAACAUCCAGUUCGCAUCGUUUAGGGCGUGGACUAC